GACGAACGCUGGCGGCGUGCUUAACACAUGCAAGUCGAACGGAAAGGCCCUGCUUUUGUGGGGUGCUCGAGUGGCGAACGGGUGAGUAACACGUGAGUAACCUGCCCUUGACUUUGGGAUAACUUCAGGAAACUGGGUCUAAUACCGGAUAGGAGCUCCUGCUUCAUGGUGGGGGUUGGAAAGUUUCGGCGGUUGGGGAUGGACUCGCGGCUUAUCAGCUUGUUGGUGGGGUAGUGGCUUACCAAGGCUUUGACGGGUAGCCGGCCUGAGAGGGUGACCGGCCACAUUGGGACUGAGAUACGGCCCAGACUCCUACGGGAGGCAGCAGUGGGGAAUAUUGCACAAUGGGCGGAAGCCUGAUGCAGCAACGCCGCGUGCGGGAUGACGGCCUUCGGGUUGUAAACCGCUUUCGCCUGUGACGAAGCGUGAGUGACGGUAAUGGGUAAAGAAGCACCGGCUAACUACGUG
This 468-nucleotide ribosomal RNA is filed under the name uncultured bacterium. Its description in RNAcentral is "partial 16S ribosomal RNA". It matches the Rfam family "Bacterial small subunit ribosomal RNA", at positions 28 to 507 of the family's 1533-position model. The record is from RNAcentral.